This 30-nucleotide non-coding RNA is filed under the name Homo sapiens (human). Lineage: Eukaryota; Metazoa; Chordata; Mammalia; Primates; Hominidae. The record is from RNAcentral.
GGCCUUGGCAUGUAGUAGACACAGCUCUGU